AUUGCCCUAGUAACGGCGAGUGAAGCGGCAAAAGCUCAAAUUUGAAAUCUGGCUUCUUUGGAAGCCCGAGUUGUAAUUUGCAGAGGGUGCUUUGGCGGUGGCAGCGGUCCAAGUUCCUUGGAACAGGACGUCGCAGAGGGUGAGAAUCCCGUAUGUGGCUGCUCGUCACUGUCAUGUAAAGCCCCUUCGACGAGUCGAGUUGUUUGGGAAUGCAGCUCUAAAUGGGAGGUAAAUUUCUCCUAAAGCUAAAUACUGGCCAGAGACCGAUAGCGCACAAGUAGAGUGAUCGAAAGAUGAAAAGCACUUUGGAAAGAGAGUCAAAAAGCACGUGAAAUUGUUGAAAGGGAAGCGCUUGCAGCCAGACUUGUCGGCAGUUGUUUUCUUCUGCCGGCAGGCCAGCAUCAGUCCAGGCGGUUGGAUAAAGGCCUCUGUCAAGUAUCUCCCUUCGGGGUGACCUUAUAGGGGGGGUGUAAUGCAGCCAGCCUGGAUUGAGGGCCGCGCAUCUGCUAGGAUGCUGGCGUAAUGGCUGUAAGCGGCCCGUCUUGAAACACGGACCAAGGAGUCUAACAUCCAUGCGAGUGUUUGGGUGUCAAGCCCAGGCGCGCAAUGAAAGUGAACGGAGGUGGGAACCCUUUGGGGUGCACCAUCGACCGAUCCUGAAGUCUUCGGAUGGAUUUGAGUAAGAGCAUGGCUGUUGGGACCCGAAAGAUGGUGAACUAUGCUUGAAUAGGGUGAAGCCAGAGGAAACUCUGGUGGAGGCUCGCAGCGGUUCUGACGUGCAAAUCGAUCGUCAAAUUUGGGCAUAGGGGCGAAAGACUAAUCGAACU
Molecule: ribosomal RNA, 827 nt
Filed under: Immotthia bambusae
Lineage: Eukaryota; Fungi; Ascomycota; Dothideomycetes; Pleosporales; Teichosporaceae
Description: Immotthia sp. HBJ-2020a partial large subunit ribosomal RNA
Rfam family: Eukaryotic large subunit ribosomal RNA
Source: RNAcentral